GCCUGGGUGGCUCAUUGAGUUGAGCAUCUGACUUUGGCUCAGGUCAUGAUCUUGCGGUUUGUGGGUUCGAGCCCCGCGUCCGGCU
Molecule: transfer RNA, 85 nt
Filed under: Felis catus (domestic cat)
Lineage: Eukaryota; Metazoa; Chordata; Mammalia; Carnivora; Felidae
Also listed under: 1 other name
Rfam family: tRNA
About the family: Transfer RNA (tRNA) molecules are approximately 80 nucleotides in length. Their secondary structure includes four short double-helical elements and three loops (D, anti-codon, and T loops).
Source: Rfam by way of RNAcentral